UCAACCCUCAAGCCCCCGGGCUUGGUGUUGGAGAUCGGCAACUGCCCCUUGCGGGUGCGCCGUCUCCCAAAUCUAGUGGCGGUCUCGCUGUAGCUUCCUCUGCGUAGUAAUUCACCUCGCUCUGGAACGCAGCGCGGCCACGCCGUUAAACCCCCCACUUCUGAAG
RNAcentral lists this unclassified non-coding RNA (166 nucleotides) under Gliocladiopsis curvata. RNAcentral's name for it is "internal transcrbed spacer 2". Lineage: Eukaryota; Fungi; Ascomycota; Sordariomycetes; Hypocreales; Nectriaceae. The record is from RNAcentral.